AUCCAUCUGACGAGUUCGAACUAGGACGAAACGCGCGUCAAACUGGAU
Non-coding RNA from Schistosoma margrebowiei, 48 nucleotides. The record is from Rfam. NCBI's taxonomy places the organism in Eukaryota, Metazoa, Platyhelminthes, Trematoda, Strigeidida, Schistosomatidae.